UUUAAUGGCACUUUUAAGCAAAUGCUCAUCACGUUCACAGAGACCUGUCGGAAUUGGGAAAAAUUCCUUCCCCAUUUGCUCUUUGCCUAUAGGGAAGUUCCCCAGGAGUCCACCGGAUUCUCCCCGUUCGAACUAUUAUACGGGAGACGGGUCCGGGGACCCCUAGAUCUAGUACGGGAACAUUGGGAAGGUGAUAUGGAACAAGCA
This is a non-coding RNA of Pelobates cultripes (western spadefoot toad), 207 nucleotides long. Lineage: Eukaryota; Metazoa; Chordata; Amphibia; Anura; Pelobatidae. The record is from the annotation of a GenBank genome assembly.